This 402-nucleotide ribosomal RNA is filed under the name uncultured prokaryote. RNAcentral's name for it is "bacterial SSU rRNA". It matches the Rfam family "Bacterial small subunit ribosomal RNA", at positions 355 to 774 of the family's 1533-position model. The record is from RNAcentral.
UAGGGAAUAUUAGAAAUGGACGAAAGUCUGAUCUAGCAACACCGCGUGUGCGAAGAAGGCCUUCGGGUCGUAAAGCACUUUUUGGAAGGAAUAGGAAGGAAUGUACUUCCAGAAUAAGUCUCGGCUAACUACGUGCCAGUAGCCGCGGUAACACGUAGGAGGCGAACGUUAUCCGGAUUUACUGGGCGUAAAGCGCGUGUAGGUGGUUCUGUAAGUAGGGCGUGAAAGCUCCUGGCUCAACUGGGAGAGGCCGUUCUAAACUACAGAACUAGAGGAUGGUAGAGGGAGGUGGAAUUCUGGGUGUAGCGGUGGAAUGCGCAGAUAUCCGGAGGAACACCAGUGGCGAAAGCGGCCUCCUGGACCACUCCUGACACUCAGACGCGAAAGCUAGGGUAGCAAACG